UAGGGAAUCUUCGGCAAUGGACGAAAGUCUGACCGAGCAACGCCGCGUGAGUGAAGAAGGUUUUCGGAUCGUAAAACUCUGUUGGUAGAGAAGAACGUUGGUGAGAGUGGAAAGCUCAUCAAGUGACGGUAACUACCCAGAAAGGGACGGCUAACUACGUGCCAGCAGCCGCGGUAAUACGUAGGUCCCGAGCGUUGUCCGGAUUUAUUGGGCGUAAAGCGAGCGCAGGUGGUUUAUUAAGUCUGGUGUAAAAGGCAGUGGCUCACCAUU
RNAcentral lists this ribosomal RNA (270 nucleotides) under uncultured bacterium. RNAcentral describes it as "partial 16S ribosomal RNA". It matches the Rfam family "Bacterial small subunit ribosomal RNA", at positions 355 to 617 of the family's 1533-position model. The record is from RNAcentral.